RNAcentral lists this ribosomal RNA (468 nucleotides) under uncultured bacterium. RNAcentral's name for it is "partial 16S ribosomal RNA". It matches the Rfam family "Bacterial small subunit ribosomal RNA", at positions 28 to 507 of the family's 1533-position model. The record is from RNAcentral.
GACGAACGCUGGCGGCGUGCUUAACACAUGCCAGUCGAACGGAAAGGCCCUGCUUUUGUGGGGUGCUCGAGUGGCGAACGGGUGAGUAACACGUGAGUAACCUGCCCUUGACUUUGGGAUAACUUCAGGAAACUGGGGCUAAUACCGGAUAUGAGCUCCUGCUGCAUGGUGGGGGUUGGAAAGUUUCGGCGGUUGGGGAUGGACUCGCGGCUUAUCAGCUUGUUGGUGGGGUAGUGGCUUACCAAGGCUUUGACGGGUAGCCGGCCUGAGAGGGUGACCGGCCACAUUGGGACUGAGAUACGGCCCAGACUCCUACGGGAGGCAGCAGUGGGGAAUAGUGCACAAUGGGCGGAAGCCUGAUGCAGCAACGCCGCGUGCGGGAUGACGGCCUUCGGGUUGUAAACCGCUUUCGCCUGUGACGAAGCGUGAGUGACGGUAAUGGGUAAAGAAGCACCGGCUAACUACGUG